UGAGAAUCUAAAACAAGUUUCUAAGAC
RNAcentral lists this non-coding RNA (27 nucleotides) under Rattus norvegicus (Norway rat). Lineage: Eukaryota; Metazoa; Chordata; Mammalia; Rodentia; Muridae. The record is from RNAcentral.